RNAcentral lists this transfer RNA (77 nucleotides) under Erysipelotrichaceae bacterium. Its description in RNAcentral is "tRNA-Pro". It matches the Rfam family "tRNA". From Rfam's summary of the family: Transfer RNA (tRNA) molecules are approximately 80 nucleotides in length. The record is from RNAcentral. Lineage: Bacteria; Bacillati; Bacillota; Erysipelotrichia; Erysipelotrichales; Erysipelotrichaceae. RNAcentral also lists the same sequence under 1 other name.
CGGGAUGUAGCACAAUUUGGUAGUGCACUUGCUUUGGGAGCAAGGGGUCGCAGGUUCAAAUCCUGUCAUCCCGACCA